Anas platyrhynchos (mallard) is the source of this 2129-nucleotide non-coding RNA. The record is from RefSeq and is a predicted model, not a curated record. Lineage: Eukaryota; Metazoa; Chordata; Aves; Anseriformes; Anatidae.
GGAACUGCAGCCCCCAUGAUGCACCGCGGCUCCUCUCGCGCUGUGGGCGCCAAGGGCUCGGGGCGGCCGUUGGGCGGCUGAGGGGCGGUGCGGAGCCGAGCUCGCCUCAGGGCGGGGCUGUGCGCACACACGCAGCCGGCGCUUCACGGACCGCCUUUCUUUCUUUUUUUUCUCUUUUUUUCUCUCUUUUCCUUUCCCCCCAGGUAGCCGUGUUUCCACAAGGCGGCGCUGCAGCGCGAAAUCCCAGAAAUCUGGGCCCUCAUCUCCUCCUAGUUCCGUGAAGGCAGCUUAAACGCCGACAAAGCCCGCCUGCGUUUGCUGGGCAAAUAUCCGUAGAAUUAGAAAAGUCUUAGGUUUUGACCUGAAGCACACGUUAAAUAAAGCAGGAGAGAGGUUUAGGUUCUCUGUCAGAAAGGUGCCACGUUGCUAUGCUAAGCCAUGGAGGGGCAGCAGAGAAACCCUCCCUUCCUUUUGGAGAAGGACAGGAGGUUUCUGGAGAGCAUUCGAGGAAACAUAUUGACAGAAACUGAAAAAGUGGGCUGUGCUGAGCCAGGGCCCUCUGAGGAGCGCUACAUUAUAUACAGUAACGCUUUUGACAAGAUAAUAGAGUAUGUUAGUGCGUACAAGAACAUCCUGACUUCAAUCAAACAGGAAUAUGAGGCAUUUAUUACAAGAAUUAAGAAUGGCCAAAGGAAUGUGUUUUUUCUUCGUGGGAGAUUAAAAGCUCUGGAAUCUGAGUCCACAGCUCUGUUAUACUAUAGGAAAAGAGCAAUGGAGCUUGAAGACAAAAUAAAAGCCAUUGAGAAGAAUUCUGCAAAAAUUGAAAAUGAAAUAUUAAAAAUUCAAAAUAUAGGAAAGGUGUCCUCUGAAACCUUUGGCACACAAGAAAAAACAGUACAUCCCGCUAAACCCAUCCCAGCUCUUGAUGUCCCUAGUAAAAUGGCUGAGGAUUCACUUGAAUAUUUUGAAAGUUUCAGUGAAUUAUUUUCAAGUGGUCAGUAUGAUGCUGCAGCAACUUGUGCAAUAAACUCUCCUGGAGAAAUUCUCUGUAAUGAAGAGGCUCUAAAGAAUCUUAAAUCUCUUAGCUGUCUUGAAGGAAGAAAUCUGCCUUUGCUGAAGUAUUUUGACACUCUCAUAAAUGCAAGUACUGCAGCUGGACGCCUUCCAAAUUUACCUGUAACUCUGGAAGCAAUUAAAUGUGCGUUGUCUGAAAAGCAAUUAAACCUGGUAAACCAUUGGGUUACACAGCAGAGGCUAACUUUUUCUGAGGCAGUGGGAGACCUUAUUUAUGAUUAUGGGAAAGAGGAGCCAAACAACAUGUUGGAAUGCCUGGCUUUGGCUCAGGCCGCGUAUGGUCAUUCUGGUGCAUACAAAAAAGUUGCGUUGUGCCUGUGUAAACAGGGCCGAAUUGCUGGAGCAGUGGAUUAUAUUCAGCAAGUGGAACAUUUUUCUUUAGAUGAUUACUUCUUCUUAUUGGAAAACUGUCCUAGCACUGCAUUAAUUCGCUGUCUCAGUCAACAGUGGAUUAGAAAACCACCGUUUUCAUCUAUGGGGGCUACAAUCCUGUCUUUUAUCUCGACUGAACACAAAAAGCAUGGCUUUCAGCUGUUGGAGGAAAUGAACAAUAAAACCAUUUUUACUGUGCAGGGAUGGUUUCUAGCAAGGCCUGAGUUGGUUGGUAUGCUGCAUUCACCUCCCUCAAAUGCAGACCUGACAAAGCUGUUAAGCAGCUCGGCAUCGUAUGCCUUCCUAAAUUAAUUUGUAAACCAGCAAGUAAUGCAUCAAAUUGAGAACACCCGUUGCUUUGUGUGAGAACUGAAACUGUCUGGAGGUUGGCUGUGGGAAGAAGUGUCUGCAUUACUGGUGACGGAGGAAAAGCAGCACUGCAGGAUUCCAGAGAGGAAUGGCCAUGGCAGGAGGAAAAAAUCCCUUGUUCCAGACGCAGCUUCACUUUAAACAUAGUGACUUGUCUGAAACAAAUGUAUACGGCUUUCCAGUCACCAGACACUAAAGAAGCAGCCUGAGCAGACUUUGUCCCCAAAGCUACAGUUCGGGGAAGCAUACAGGAAAGUUCCAAAGAAAGGAAACUGCUCAGUGAGUGCCUUUGGAGAAGGAGGCUGUCCAGCGAC